CUUCACACUCUUUUCCAGCAGCCAUCCCUCACUUUCGCUCUCAGGAUUCUCUGGGUCUGCCAGGGUUUCCAGUGAGGUGCUCAGGAUCACUCAGUGGAUUGUUGGCUGUCUGGAAGGAGUGCAGAAAGCAUGAAUGAAGAGCAGGAGACAGAAACGCUUGAGAAACCUACAGAUUCCGUGUGCAGCCAAACGAGACUUGAAGGAGAUGCAGAGGAGCAGAGAUGAGACAAGAAAUAGAUUGUGGACUGAAAUGAUGAGAGCAGGCACUGAACACUUCCCUCAAGAGAAACCAAAUGAGAGCGAGCACUCUACAGCUGAAUGUCUGGCCUCGAGCGAAGGUGAAAAUGAGCAGCAAUAAAUCUGACAGACUUUAUCUGAGAAGAGACCUAAACCUGUUGUGCGUGCUUUGGCCUGGUUUUACUUGGGCAGGAAACAACAUGGCCGCUCUUGAUCUUUGGCUUUGCACCUUUGACCCCAAUGAAUCACAAAGCUAAAAAUGGCGUCUCUACAACAAGCAGGGCGUUGAACUGCGUGGAAUAACAGAGUAUGAUAUAUUCAUAAAAUUGUUCUCAGGAUAUGUUUUUUUUUUUCUCCUGUUUUAAUCCAAUAAAGAUGUACUGUAUGGUGUAUGAGGCCAAGUUCUGCUCUGCAUAUUUUUGAUAAAUCAUUCCCACCAAAUCAUCCUUCCGAAUUGUCUCCCCUGGCUGAUCCUAACAUUUCACACACACACACACACACACAUAUUUGGAUUGUGGAGCCCUACAGACCUGCUCAGCCAACUCGACCCGCUCAAAACGGUGUGUGCGAGGAUUCAGCACAUUGUUUAAUAAAGGGAAAAAAGGCUUCAUUGUGACAGCAGGAGCACGGGGCGCUUUCUGAUGAUGCGUUCACUCCCCCGGGCUGACCUCUGCUCUUUAUUAAGCUCUAAUGAGCAGCAGGGCUGAGCGGUCUUAUCUCAGACCUGUCACACAUGCACAAGGCAGGGGUCGGGAAUAACUAAGUGAAAGUAGUAAACUGUUUUUCAGUUGUGCAGGCAGUAGCUCA
Molecule: long non-coding RNA, 1044 nt
Organism: Carassius auratus (goldfish)
Lineage: Eukaryota; Metazoa; Chordata; Actinopteri; Cypriniformes; Cyprinidae
Exons: 3
Source: RefSeq, a predicted model, not a curated record